Molecule: ribosomal RNA, 480 nt
Filed under: uncultured bacterium
Lineage: Bacteria
Description: bacterial SSU rRNA
Rfam family: Bacterial small subunit ribosomal RNA
Source: RNAcentral
UUGAACGCUGGCGGCAUGCUUUACACAUGCAAGUCGAACGGUAACAGGCCGCAAGGUGCUGACGAGUGGCGAACGGGUGAGUAAUGCAUCGGAACGUGCCCAGUCGUGGGGGAUAACGCAGCGAAAGCUGUGCUAAUACCGCAUACGAUCUAAGGAUGAAAGCGGGGGACCGAAAGGCCUCGCGCGAUUGGAGCGGCCGAUGUCAGAUUAGCUAGUUGGUGGGGUAAAGGCCCACCAAGGCAACGAUCUGUAGCUGGUCUGAGAGGACGACCAGCCACACUGGGACUGAGACACGGCCCAGACUCCUACGGGAGGCAGCAGUGGGGAAUUUUGGACAAUGGGCGCAAGCCUGAUCCAGCCAUUCCGCGUGAGUGAAGAAGGCCUUCGGGUUGUAAAGCUCUUUCGGCAGGGAAGAAACGGUUUGGGCUAAUACCCUGAGCUAAUGACGGUACCUGAAGAAGAAGCACCGGCUAACUACGU